This 221-nucleotide long non-coding RNA is filed under the name Elaeis guineensis (African oil palm). RNAcentral describes it as "long non-coding RNA (EGUI_LNC064203)". The record is from RNAcentral. Lineage: Eukaryota; Viridiplantae; Streptophyta; Magnoliopsida; Arecales; Arecaceae.
CUCACUAGCAUGAUCUAUUCAUGUCUCCCAAAAUUAUUAUCCAAAUCUUUGGAGUUCAUAAUAAUCUAAGUCAUAAUAAGAUAUAGCUAAAAUGAUAAAUCAAUACCUCAUUUUAUUAUCAUUACAUGAGUUGAAAAAUUAUAAAGAAAAGUCCUAUCGCAACACUUGUGAUUGGCUUAUAAGGCACUCUUCUUUCACAGUACAACAAGACAAGACCAUCA